GACGAACGCUGGCGGCGUGCCUAACACAUGCAAGUCAACUUGAGGGAAGGAGCAAUCUGACCUGAUGGUGGCGCAAGGGUGCGUAACGCGUAAGUAACUUGCCCAAGGUAAGGAAUAAACGUCGAGAAAUCGGCGCUAAUACCUCAUAAUGCAGCGGAUCCGCAUGGAUAUGUUGUUAAAGGUUUACCGCCUUGGGAUAGGCUUGCGUCUGAUUAGCUAGUUGGUGUGGUAAUGGCACACCAAGGCUACGAUCAGUAAACUGGUCUGAGAGGAUGAUCAGUCACACUGGAACUGAGACACGGUCCAGACUCCUACGGGAGGCAGCAGUUGAGGAAUAUUGGGCAAAUGCACGAAAAGUAGUGACCCACGCAACGACCGCGUGGAGGAUGAA
Molecule: ribosomal RNA, 391 nt
Filed under: uncultured bacterium
Lineage: Bacteria
Description: bacterial SSU rRNA
Rfam family: Bacterial small subunit ribosomal RNA
Source: RNAcentral